RNAcentral lists this ribosomal RNA (498 nucleotides) under uncultured bacterium. RNAcentral's name for it is "partial 16S ribosomal RNA". It matches the Rfam family "Bacterial small subunit ribosomal RNA", at positions 30 to 523 of the family's 1533-position model. The record is from RNAcentral.
AUUGAACGCUGGCGGCAUGCCUUACACAUGCAAGUCGAACGGUAACAGGUCUUCGGAUGCUGACGAGUGGCGAACGGGUGAGUAAUACAUCGGAACGUGCCUAGAAGUGGGGGAUAACUACUCGAAAGAGUGGCUAAUACCGCAUGAGAUCUACGGAUGAAAGCAGGGGAUGGCAAGACCUUGUGCUAAUAGAGGUGCCGAUGGAAGAUUAGGUAGUUGGUGGGAAAAAAGAGUACCAAGCCGACGAUCUGUAGCUGGUCUGAGAGGAAGAUCAGCGACACUGGGACUUAGACACGGCCCAGACUCCUACGGGAGGCAGCAGUGGGGAAUUUUGGACAAUGGGCGAAAGCCUGAUCCAGCAAUGCCGCGUGCAGGAUGAAGGCCUUCGGGUUGUAAACUGCUUUUGUACGGAACGAAAAGCCCCGGGUUAAUACCCUGGGGUCAUGACGGUACCGUAAGAAUAAGCACCGGCUAACUACGUGCCAGCCGCCGCCGUAA